AAAGUCAAACAAAAUUUUAAAUUAAAUUAUCAUCAAAAACAAAUAUCAGAAGGUACGUUUUUGAACGAAAAAAUAUACAUAUAUACAGAUAAGUAAAAAUUAAAAAUAAAACCGUCAAUACAGCUCUUUACUAGUAUAACAGGAAAAAUGUCCAGGAAAAUAAAAUGUAGCUGUGUCCUGAAAAAUGAAAAGCAUAAUUGGUUUUUCAAGAUUUCGUUGUGAACAUUUUGUUUGAACUGUUUGUAUGAGCUGUGCUUUUUGAAAAGUGAAAACUAUACCAGUUUAUUUGAAGAAGUCUCCACCUCUUUUUCGCUGCGGCAGCCUGCUAGACUUUGUAAAAAUAAGCUUUCAAAUAAGAUAAGAUCUAUUAUUAUGA
Episyrphus balteatus (marmalade hoverfly) is the source of this 376-nucleotide long non-coding RNA. RefSeq lists it as uncharacterized. NCBI's taxonomy places the organism in Eukaryota, Metazoa, Arthropoda, Insecta, Diptera, Syrphidae. The record is from RefSeq and is a predicted model, not a curated record. The transcript has 2 exons.